RNAcentral lists this unclassified non-coding RNA (857 nucleotides) under Hevea brasiliensis (rubber tree). The record is from RNAcentral. Lineage: Eukaryota; Viridiplantae; Streptophyta; Magnoliopsida; Malpighiales; Euphorbiaceae.
GGGGAGAAAAACAACAGAAAUUAUUUUCUGAUUGACUUUGGACAUUUGUUUUGUAGGUUACAUCUGUAUUGAAUACUGAAAAGAUUUAAUUUACUGGUGUUGGCAAAGUUUCCUAUGUGCAAUUAGUUCUUGGCUUAAAAGUGUCGAUUCUGUGAUGCAUAUUGACAGGCAUAGUUAAAUGGCAUGCUAUUAAUGAAUAGUAGAUAAACAUGUAUACAAAUAGAUAGAUGUGAUAAUGCAUUUUUAUACUGUCUUUUACAUUUCAACUCCUCUUAUCCCAACAUAAACUGAUUAAUGUCACAUGGAGCUCAUAAUUGUUUAUGCAGAUUUAAAGAAUAGGGGAUGCAUUAGGGUAAUACACAUCAACACUGAUAAUGCACCAAACAACCUUGGCUGCUGCUAAUAAAUAGAUAAUCAUAAGAGUUAAGUGGCUUCCCCUGGACAUCUGUAUCAUAAAAUAGAUUUUUCUAUCCUUUUAGUCACCUAGUUGGUCAUAUAGAACUUACUCAUGGUUGGAAUAGGAUUAAAUCUUUAAUAGUUUGAACCCUCUGUUAACUGGAAAGGUUCUUUUGGUUCUCUGAGGUCCCUUCUUAGGCUCAUCCUUUCUCGCAAGAAGAAUCUCUUUUAUCUCAGCACUUAAAUUAAUUUGUUGUUAUUUUGAUUUUUUCUCGAGGGUUAUCUCAACAAGAAGUUUUUUUUAGAGUGAAACUAUGGUUCAAGUUUUCUGAAACCGAGCUUUAAUAAUUGGGAAUUUGGAUGGAAACCUUUGUUUAGUUGGAUAACUUCUUUCCUCCUGUAAGAGUUUGCAGCUAACGUUGAAUUCUGUCAUGUUGCAGUAUAAAAAAGCACAGGCUCUG